Molecule: long non-coding RNA, 2636 nt
Organism: Apodemus sylvaticus (European woodmouse)
Lineage: Eukaryota; Metazoa; Chordata; Mammalia; Rodentia; Muridae
Exons: 4
Source: RefSeq, a predicted model, not a curated record
GUCUGGUUCCCAGAGCGACAUGGUGUGUUCCGGCUGCCCUUGCCCCUCGCACUCACUUCCCCUCCUUCCAGCCAGUGGGUGGAACUGAAGAGAGCCUCUCCAGGGAGCCGGCACGCAGUCCAGAAGGCUGCAGUAUUUCCUCCAAGGGGGCAGGAAAAAAAGAAGAUAAAGAAGAAGAAAAAGAAAGAGGCUGCUGCCGCCUCUCCGCUAGCUCUCUGGAAUAGCACAGUGAGCAGAGUCUGCAGCCAAGCCGCCGGGUGGAACCGAACCCCAGCGUGUCUCAGAAGUGCCUGGGUGGGGCAUGGCCCGGCCCUCCCUGCCCUGCUCCGACCGGGGCUCCCAAGAUCCCAAGCUGUCUUCUCUUCAAUCGCCAAGUUCCCAGAGAUGAAGAUGUAGCACUCUCAGCUCCUCCAGCACCAUGCCUGCCUGGAUGCUGCCAUGCUUCCUGCCUGGAAGAUAAUGGACUAAAUGUCUGAACUUGCCAUCAGACUUUGACGUUUGCCUGACCGUCCCCAAAGUCCGCUCUGUUCACAGACAUGAGGAUCGCCUUCUGACAACGCAGUCCUUUCCCGCUUGUCUGCAGUCCUGCAGCGGAUGAGCCUCGAGCCUCGAGGUGCCUGGAAACACUAGAGAUGGAAACAGAUUCUAAGCCACGGCUGAGCCAAACGGCAAAAAGAAAGAAAAAAGGAUUGCUGAGCGCAGCUGUUGCCUCCGUGGGUCAGUCCCACUCCCAAGGAUUUCGGGGUCGUUUCUGAUCAAUCAGGAUGGUGGGAGGUGACCCAGUUUCACAGCAUCUGAGCGAUUCCAUUUUCCUGUGAUCCAAUUCCAUCGUGGAGCCGAGAAGAAAGGUCCAGCAGAGAGAGACACUCGCAUUCUCUUCAAAUGCUUUCUUCGGAGAGGUUGUUUCUCUGACGGGAGGAAGAAGGAAACUGAAGCCUAUGUCUAAGGCUGGGAUUGCCUGGCUGCAGACUCUUCCCUGGCUACCAACCUUCUUCCCCAGCAUGAGGCAGACGGCUGAGGAGUCUGACCUUUCAGGACCAAGAACCUAAGAACCUGUAGAAGUAUGGAGGAAUUCACGCCAAUAUGUUUUAAGCACUGGGGAUGUAACCCUGUGAAUUCUGCAGCACUGUAAAAUUGGUAAUUUGUAAAAUACUCAGUGGCACAGAAAACCAAACCAACAAAGAGAAAAAGGAUGAAUGAGAUCCACUUUCUCCAUAUCUCUUACCUUGAUUUACCAUCGCAGCAAUGCUUUCUUUUAUAAGCAGCAUUUAUAAGAUUUUUCUUUUAUAAGAUUUUUAUUUCAAAAAUCAAGGAAAUACCACCAGAGACCAAGAGACAGUAAGUCUGGUCAAGAGAGAUUUGGGCCCUACCUUUAAUCCUUAAUAAUGGCCCAGAAAACUACUUCUCUCUUGCUUUUAUAAUGUCUUUGUCAAGUCCAGCAAAGGCACAGGCUGGGCAAGCAUUUUUAUGCUGGCCUCUUCAGAUAGCUUUGUAUAAUUUACAUUAUUUUUAAUUUCAGUAAUAGCAACUAGCUGGCUAAGGCAAUAAGCACUUUUUAACAAUGAAUAAAUAAAGAAAUCGCUCAUAUUUCAAUUAAGUAACGGAACGAAAUCAUAACGAGCACGGCUGUUUCAUUUUAUUCGGCUGUUUCUCAAAGAAUGUUCAUUAGGAAUGUUGCAUUGUUAAUAUUUAUAAUGUUUGCACUAAUAUAAUUCAUAUUAUGGUGUUCAGGGUAAUAUUGGAGAAUUAGAAGAACACUAAUCUCUAAUAGAGUGAGCCAUUGCACCAACACAGAAUACUGUUUUCCUUGAGCCAGUGAUGUCACCCGUGGCUUGAAAAAAAUCAUUGUUUAUAAUUUCUGUGUAUAUUUGUCUACCUGGGGUGUGUGUCUCUGUGUCACAGUGCAUGUGCAGAGGUCAGAAGACAACCUCAGGUAUCAGUCCUUGCUUUCUAUCUUGUUGAGGACAGCUCUCUGUCUGUUCACUGUGGCAUGUGGUGGCUUAGCUGGGCUGUGUCAUUCUGGGAUUUUCCUGUCUCUGUCUCUCCUCUCCUGCAGGAACCCUGUGGCUACAGCCACAUGCAACCGUAUUCAGCCUUUGUGGAUUCUGGGGACAUUGUCCAAGGAGCCACCUCCCCAGCCCUGCCUCUUCUGUUCUUGUCACUUGACAGAUGUUAGGGAAACGAGCGGGGAGGGUUGAGGAGGUGUGGCUGGCCCCAUUUAUUUAGACAUCUAAAAAAAUUGUCCAGCCUCUGCUCUGCUUUUAUGUUAGUACUGAUGAAUGAAAGGGCAUAUGAAUAAGGAUAUAUUUAAUUAUGAAUGAGUGUGUACCUAUACAUCAUUCUAGAAAACAAUGGUAUUGAUAAGUGCAAUUCAUAAUCUUUUCUCAGAUAUAACACAUAGUGAUUAUUUAAGAAAGCCCCAUAUAACUGUUCUGGAUUAAGUGCAGGUUUCAGAACACGUGUGCAUACUAUAUGGAUAGUGCUUACUCUGAUUGACUUUGAAAACGCAUUUGAAGCCAGCUGUGGCAGUACACACUUUCUAUCCUAGCAUUGUGGAGGCUGAGACAGAAGCGAGGCAGUUCAAGGCUUGUCUGGGGCAUAUAGUGAAGUCACAUCUUUUAGGUUUUUUGGAUUUA